CCUUAAAGAAAAAAAGGGCCAAAUUGGUCCCUUAAAGACCUUGCCGUUAAACAUUUUGGUCCUUUCCGUCCAGAAACUGUUAAUUUUUACAGGUGGCGAACUGGAUGCUUACGUGGCUGCUCACAUGGGUGCUUACAUGGCUGCUUACUAGUGUUUCAAAAUCUGGAUUUGUGUUGAUGAAGUUUAUGAAGAAGACGGAAGGAAGGAGAUGAAGAAAGGAAAAUAAAACAAGGUGUUGGUAGUACAUUAUUAGAUAUAAUAGAUAUUCAAGAUCCAAUGGUUUUUCUUUUGAUAAGGAAAUCCAAUGGUUAAUAUUAAAAAAUUAUUGAAGUCUAUGGUGGAGCACCUGAAGUGUUGGUCCACCUUAUACUUUUGGGGUUAAAAGUUAACGGAAGAGACUAAAAUGUUUAACGGCAAGGUCUUUAAGGGACCAAUUUGACCCUUUUUUUCUUUAAGGGACCAAUUUGAAACCAUAAAUUUCUUUAAGGGACCAAUUAAGUAAUUAAGCCUAAA
Trifolium pratense (red clover) is the source of this 513-nucleotide long non-coding RNA. RefSeq lists it as uncharacterized. Lineage: Eukaryota; Viridiplantae; Streptophyta; Magnoliopsida; Fabales; Fabaceae. The record is from RefSeq and is a predicted model, not a curated record. The transcript has 2 exons.